This 495-nucleotide ribosomal RNA is filed under the name uncultured bacterium. RNAcentral's name for it is "partial 16S ribosomal RNA". It matches the Rfam family "Bacterial small subunit ribosomal RNA", at positions 28 to 507 of the family's 1533-position model. The record is from RNAcentral.
GAUGAACGCUGGCGGCGUGCCUAAUACAUGCAAGUCGAGCGAACAGACGAGGAGCUUGCUCCUCUGACGUUAGCGGCGGACGGGUGAGUAACACGUGGAUAACCUACCUAUAAGACUGGGAUAACUUCGGGAAACCGGAGCUAAUACCGGAUAAUAUAUUGAACCGCAUGGUUCAAAAGUGAAAGACGGUUGCUGUCACUUAUAGAUGGAUCCGCGCCGCAUUAGCUAGUUGGUAAGGUAACGGCUUACCAAGGCAACGAUGCGUAGCCGACCUGAGAGGGUGAUCGGCCACACUGGAACUGAGACACGGUCCAGACUCCUACGGGAGGCAGCAGUAGGGAAUCUUCCGCAAUGGGCGAAAGCUUGACGGAGCAACGCCGCGUGAGUGAUGAAGGUCUUCGGAUCGUAAAACUCUGUUAUUAGGGAAGAACAAAUGUGUAAGUAACUAUGCACGUCUUGACGGUACCUAAUCAGAAAGCCACGGCUAACUACGUG